RNAcentral lists this ribosomal RNA (540 nucleotides) under Vibrio sp. 748M. RNAcentral describes it as "bacterial SSU rRNA". It matches the Rfam family "Bacterial small subunit ribosomal RNA", at positions 390 to 922 of the family's 1533-position model. Lineage: Bacteria; Pseudomonadati; Pseudomonadota; Gammaproteobacteria; Vibrionales; Vibrionaceae. The record is from RNAcentral.
AGCCAUGCCGCGUGUAUGAAGAAGGCCUUCGGGUUGUAAAGUACUUUCAGUUGUGAGGAAGGUUUCGUAGUUAAUACCUGCGUUGCUUGACGUUAGCAACAGAAGAAGCACCGGCUAACUCCGUGCCAGCAGCCGCGGUAAUACGGAGGGUGCGAGCGUUAAUCGGAAUUACUGGGCGUAAAGCGCAUGCAGGUGGUUUGUUAAGUCAGAUGUGAAAGCCCGGGGCUCAACCUCGGAAGGUCAUUUGAAACUGGCAAACUAGAGUACUGUAGAGGGGGGUAGAAUUUCAGGUGUAGCGGUGAAAUGCGUAGAGAUCUGAAGGAAUACCAGUGGCGAAGGCGGCCCCCUGGACAGAUACUGACACUCAGAUGCGAAAGCGUGGGGAGCAAACAGGAUUAGAUACCCUGGUAGUCCACGCCGUAAACGAUGUCUACUUGGAGGUUGUGGCCUUGAGCCGUGGCUUUCGGAGCUAACGCGUUAAGUAGACCGCCUGGGGAGUACGGUCGCAAGAUUAAAACUCAAAUGAAUUGACGGGGGCCC